UACGAAGGGGGCUAGCGUUGUUCGGAAUUACUGGGCGUAAAGCGCACGUAGGCGGCCAUGUAAGUUGGGGGUGAAAUCCCGGGGCUCAACCCCGGAACUGCCUUCAAAACUACAUAGCUAGAGGAUGUGAGAGGAUAGUGGAAUUCCGAGUGUAGAGGUGAAAUUCGUAGAUAUUCGGAAGAACACCGGUGGCGAAGGCGACUGUCUGGCACAUUUCUGACGCUGAGGUGCGAAAGCGUGGGGAGCAAACAGG
RNAcentral lists this ribosomal RNA (253 nucleotides) under uncultured bacterium. RNAcentral's name for it is "partial 16S ribosomal RNA". It matches the Rfam family "Bacterial small subunit ribosomal RNA", at positions 524 to 776 of the family's 1533-position model. The record is from RNAcentral.